RNAcentral lists this long non-coding RNA (331 nucleotides) under Monodelphis domestica (gray short-tailed opossum). Its description in RNAcentral is "lncRNA (ENSMODG00000044941.1)". The record is from RNAcentral. Lineage: Eukaryota; Metazoa; Chordata; Mammalia; Didelphimorphia; Didelphidae.
AACACAAAACUCCCUAGGUCAGCUGAUAGCUGUUAAAACAGAGAUUUGAACCCCAGAUUUCAAUCCCCAGAAGUCCUUGGUACUUCCCAGAAUUCCCUAUAAUCUCACCUGAGUCUCCACCUGGAUGAGAUCACAAUUUAUUAUUUAAAGGGCUCUCUGCCUCUCAAGAGCUCUCUUCCUCUACUCAGAUUGCAACAUAUAUGUCAGUAUCAUAUCAACCAAAACUAAGUAUUCCUGGAACCCAAGAGUGACAUCACAAAGAGCAGGACUACUGUGCGUUGCCAAGAUCUUGCUUUAUGAUUUACACUCCAAAGGGGUGAGAAAUGGUUAA